AGCUCCAAUAGCGUAUAUUAAAGUUGUUGCAGUUAAAAAGCUCGUAGUUGAAUUUCUGGUCAAUUUUGAUCUUGGCUUCGGUCGGGUCAAGGUUGGCCAUCCGUCUGCAAGCUAUUCUCGGCCUUUACUGGUUCGGAUUAGUGAGCUGACAUUUUACUUUGAAAAAAUUUAGAGUGUUUCAGGCAGGCUUUUGCCCGAAUACAUUAGCAUGGAAUAAUGGAAUUGGACUCAAGUCCAUUUGGUUGGUUAUUGGAUCUGAGUAAUGGUUAAUAGGGACAGUUGGGGGCAUUAGUAUUUAAUUGUCAGAG
Molecule: ribosomal RNA, 308 nt
Filed under: uncultured eukaryote
Lineage: Eukaryota
Description: SSU rRNA
Rfam family: Eukaryotic small subunit ribosomal RNA
Source: RNAcentral